Molecule: ribosomal RNA, 253 nt
Filed under: uncultured bacterium
Lineage: Bacteria
Description: partial 16S ribosomal RNA
Rfam family: Bacterial small subunit ribosomal RNA
Source: RNAcentral
UACGUAGGGGGCAAGCGUUGUCCGGAAUUAUUAGGCGUAAAGCGCGCGCAGGCGGUUCCUUAAGUCUGAUGUGAAAGCCCACGGCUUAACCGUGGAGGGUCAUUGGAAACUGGGGAACUUGAGUACAGAAGAGGAGAGUGGAAUUCCACGUGUAGCGGUGAAAUGCGUAGAUAUGUGGAGGAACACCAGUGGCGAAGGCGACUCUCUGGUCUGUAACUGACGCUGAGGUGCGAAAGCGUGGGGAGCGAACAGG